AGUGAACGCUGGCGGUAGGCCUAACACAUGCAAGUCGAACGGCAGCACAGUAAGAGCUUGCUCUUACGGGUGGCGAGUGGCGGACGGGUGAGGAAUACAUCGGAAUCUACUUUUUCGUGGGGGAUAACGUAGGGAAACUUACGCUAAUACCGCAUACGACCUACGGGUGAAAGCAGGGGAUCUUCGGCCCUUGCGCGAUUGAUUGAGCCGAUGUCGGAUUAGCUAGUUGGCGGGGUAAAGGCCCACCAAGGCGACGAUCCGUAGCUGGUCUGAGAGGAUGAUCAGCCACACUGGAACUGAGACACGGUCCAGACUCCUACGGGAGGCAGCAGUGGGGAAUAUUGGACAAUGGGCGCAAGCCUGAUCCAGCCAUACCGCGUGGGUGAAGAAGGCCUUCGGGUUGUAAAGCCCUUUUGUUGGGAAAGAAAAGCAGCAGGUUAAUACCCCGCUGUUCUGACGGUACCCAAAGAAUAAGCACCGGCUAACUUCGUG
RNAcentral lists this ribosomal RNA (492 nucleotides) under uncultured bacterium. RNAcentral's name for it is "partial 16S ribosomal RNA". It matches the Rfam family "Bacterial small subunit ribosomal RNA", at positions 29 to 507 of the family's 1533-position model. The record is from RNAcentral.